RNAcentral lists this ribosomal RNA (650 nucleotides) under uncultured bacterium. Its description in RNAcentral is "bacterial SSU rRNA". It matches the Rfam family "Bacterial small subunit ribosomal RNA", at positions 42 to 685 of the family's 1533-position model. The record is from RNAcentral.
UCAGGCCUAACACAUGCAAGUCGAACGGCAGCAUAGGAGCUUGCUCCUGAUGGCGAGUGGCGAACGGGUGAGUAAUAUAUCGGAACGUGCCCUAGAGUGGGGGAUAACUAGUCGAAAGACUAGCUAAUACCGCAUACGAUCUACGGAUGAAAGUGGGGGAUCGCAAGACCUCAUGCUCCUGGAGCGGCCGAUAUCUGAUUAGCUAGUUGGUGGGGUAAAAGCCUACCAAGGCGACGAUCAGUAGCUGGUCUGAGAGGACGACCAGCCACACUGGGACUGAGACACGGCCCAGACUCCUACGGGAGGCAGCAGUGGGGAAUUUUGGACAAUGGGGGCAACCCUGAUCCAGCAAUGCCGCGUGAGUGAAGAAGGCCUUCGGGUUGUAAAGCUCUUUUGUCAGGGAAGAAACAGUAGUAGCUAAUAUCUAUUACUAAUGACGGUACCUGAAGAAUAAGCACCGGCUAACUACGUGCCAGCAGCCGCGGUAAUACGUAGGGUGCAAGCGUUAAUCGGAAUUACUGGGCGUAAAGCGUGCGCAGGCGGUUGUGUAAGUCAGAUGUGAAAUCCCCGGGCUCAACCUGGGAAUUGCAUUUGAGACUGCACGGCUAGAGUGUGUCAGAGGGGGGUAGAAUUCCACGUGUAGCAGUGAA